AAAGUCGUAACAAGGUUUCCGUAGGUGAACCUGCGGAAGGAUCAUUAUUGAUUGUGAAUCGUUGCCUCCAGUGCUGGCUCUUGCAAGUGCACGGUUGGUGACUUUCAUCCAACACCCUGUGAACCUUUGGCCUCUUGCUAGCUUCGGCUGGCAGAGGAUUUUUACACACACUCGAAUGUAAUGAAAUUAUUGUCGUGCGCAAGCACUUAUGUACAACUUUCAACAACGGAUCUCUUGGCUCUCGCAUCGAUGAAGAACGCAGCGAAAUGCGAUAAGUAAUGUGAAUUGCAGAAUUCAGUGAAUCAUCGAAUCUUUGAACGCACCUUGCACCCUUUGGCAUUCCGAAGGGUAUGCUCGUUUGAGUGUCAUUGUACUCUCACACUUCUGAUCCUUUGGAUUUGGAGCGGUGGACUUGGGUGUUGCCACUUGACGGUGGCUCACCUCUAAUGCAUUAGUGCAACUCCUGGUUGGACCAUAGUACGGCGUGAUAAGUGUCUUCGCCGGCACCUCGUGAGAGGGUGGCCGAUCGAGAGCUCUGUGCUUUCAAACCGUCCUUGCAAGGACAAUGACUGACAACUUGACCUCAAAUCGAGUAGGACUACCCGCUGAACUUAAGCAUAUCAAUAAGCGGAGGAAAAGAAACUAACAAGGAUUC
This 655-nucleotide ribosomal RNA is filed under the name uncultured Sebacinaceae. Its description in RNAcentral is "eukaryotic LSU rRNA". The stretch from base 215 to 368 matches the Rfam family "5.8S ribosomal RNA". Lineage: Eukaryota; Fungi; Basidiomycota; Agaricomycetes; Sebacinales; Sebacinaceae. The record is from RNAcentral.